RNAcentral lists this ribosomal RNA (939 nucleotides) under Arthrobacter sp. RNAcentral describes it as "bacterial SSU rRNA". It matches the Rfam family "Bacterial small subunit ribosomal RNA", at positions 563 to 1502 of the family's 1533-position model. The record is from RNAcentral. Lineage: Bacteria; Bacillati; Actinomycetota; Actinomycetes; Micrococcales; Micrococcaceae.
UAGAGCUCGUAGGCGGUUUGUCGCGUCUGCUGUGAAAGACCGGGGCUCAACUCCGGUUCUGCAGUGGGUACGGGCAGACUAGAGUGCAGUAGGGGAGACUGGAAUUCCUGGUGUAGCGGUGAAAUGCGCAGAUAUCAGGAGGAACACCGAUGGCGAAGGCAGGUCUCUGGGCUGUAACUGACGCUGAGGAGCGAAAGCAUGGGGAGCGAACAGGAUUAGAUACCCUGGUAGUCCAUGCCGUAAACGUUGGGCACUAGGUGUGGGGGACAUUCCACGUUUUCCGCGCCGUAGCUAACGCAUUAAGUGCCCCGCCUGGGGAGUACGGCCGCAAGGCUAAAACUCAAAGGAAUUGACGGGGGCCCGCACAAGCGGCGGAGCAUGCGGAUUAAUUCGAUGCAACGCGAAGAACCUUACCAAGGCUUGACAUGAACCGGUAAUACCUGGAAACAGGUGCCCCGCUUGCGGUCGGUUUACAGGUGGUGCAUGGUUGUCGUCAGCUCGUGUCGUGAGAUGUUGGGUUAAGUCCCGCAACGAGCGCAACCCUCGUUCUAUGUUGCCAGCGCGUUAUGGCGGGGACUCAUAGGAGACUGCCGGGGUCAACUCGGAGGAAGGUGGGGACGACGUCAAAUCAUCAUGCCCCUUAUGUCUUGGGCUUCACGCAUGCUACAAUGGCCGGUACAAAGGGUUGCGAUACUGUGAGGUGGAGCUAAUCCCAAAAAGCCGGUCUCAGUUCGGAUUGGGGUCUGCAACUCGACCCCAUGAAGUCGGAGUCGCUAGUAAUCGCAGAUCAGCAACGCUGCGGUGAAUACGUUCCCGGGCCUUGUACACACCGCCCGUCAAGUCACGAAGUGGUAACACCCGAAGCCGGUGGCCUACCCUUGUGGGGGGAGCCGUCGAAGUGGGACCGGCGAUUGGGACUAAGUCGUACAAAGGUAGCCC